Molecule: small nucleolar RNA, 125 nt
Organism: Salvia splendens (bonfire salvia)
Lineage: Eukaryota; Viridiplantae; Streptophyta; Magnoliopsida; Lamiales; Lamiaceae
Product: small nucleolar RNA snoR77
Exons: 1
Source: RefSeq, a predicted model, not a curated record
AGGCAACCUACUUGUGCUUAAAGAAGAAUGAGAAGUAAGGUGUUAAUCUGCUCAUACAAUUACCUUUUGCUCUUCAGACUUGCUGAUUUAUUCUUUGAAGCUGGUCUAGUAAGCUCAAGAACAUG